RNAcentral lists this ribosomal RNA (441 nucleotides) under uncultured bacterium. RNAcentral describes it as "partial 16S ribosomal RNA". It matches the Rfam family "Bacterial small subunit ribosomal RNA", at positions 338 to 795 of the family's 1533-position model. The record is from RNAcentral.
CCUACGGGAGGCAGCAGUGGGGAAUAUUGGGCAAUGGAGGAAACUCUGACCCAGCAACGCCGCGUGAAGGAUGAAGGUUUUCGGAUUGUAAACUUCUGUCGCGAGGGAUGAAGAAUGACGGUACCUCGUAAGAAAGCCCCGGCAAACUACGUGCCAGCAGCCGCGGUAAUACGUAGGGGGCGAGCGUUGUCCGGAAUGACUGGGCGUAAAGGGAGUGUAGGCGGCAUAUUAAGUUAUGUGUGAAAGCCCGCGGCUCAACCGCGGAAUUGCACAUAAAACUGGUAAGCUGGAGUGCAGGAGAGGUAAGUGGAAUUCGUGGUGUAGCGGUGAAAUGCUUAGAUAUCACGAAGAACCCCGAUUGCGAAGGCAGCUUACUAAACUGUGACUGACAUUGAUGCUCGAAAGUGUGGGUAUCAAACAGGAUUAGAUACCCCAGUAGUC